GAUGAACGCUGGCGGCGUGCCUAAUACAUGCAAGUCGAGCGAACGGACGAGAAGCUUGCUUCUCUGAUGUUAGCGGCGGACGGGUGAGUAACACGUGGAUAACCUACCUAUAAGACUGGGAUAACUUCGGGAAACCGGAGCUAAUACCGGAUGAUAUUUUGAACCGCAUGGUUCAAAAGUGAAAGACGGUCUUGCUGCCACUUAUAGAUGGAUCCGCGCUGCAUUAGCUAGUUGGUAAGGUAACGGCUUACCAAGGCAACGAUGCAUAGCCGACCUGAGAGGGUGAUCGGCCACACUGGAACUGAGACACGGUCCAGACUCCUACGGGAGGCAGCAGUAGGGAAUCUUCCGCAAUGGGCGAAAGCCUGACGGAGCAACGCCGCGUGAGUGAUGAAGGUCUUCGGAUCGUAAAACUCUGUUAUUAGGGAAGAACAUAUGUGUAAGUAACUGUGCACAUCUUGACGGUACCUAAUCAGAAAGCCACGGCUAACUACGU
This 496-nucleotide ribosomal RNA is filed under the name uncultured bacterium. RNAcentral's name for it is "partial 16S ribosomal RNA". It matches the Rfam family "Bacterial small subunit ribosomal RNA", at positions 28 to 506 of the family's 1533-position model. The record is from RNAcentral.